RNAcentral lists this ribosomal RNA (433 nucleotides) under uncultured bacterium. RNAcentral describes it as "partial 16S ribosomal RNA". It matches the Rfam family "Bacterial small subunit ribosomal RNA", at positions 29 to 507 of the family's 1533-position model. The record is from RNAcentral.
AACGAACGCUGGCGGCAGGCUUAACACAUGCAAGUCGAGCGCAUCCUUCGGGGUGAGCGGCGGACGGGUGAGUAACGCGUGGGAACGUGCCCUCUUCUACGGAAUAGCCUCGGGAAACUGAGAGUAAUGCCGUAUACGCCCGCAAGGGGAAAGAUUUAUCGGAGGAGGAUCGGCCCGCGUUGGAUUAGGUAGUUGGUGGGGUAACGGCCUACCAAGCCGACGAUCCACAGCUGGGUUGAGAGGAUGAUCAGCCACACUGGGACUGAGACACGGCCCAGACUCCUACGGGAGGCAGCAGUGGGGAAUCUUGGACAAUGGGGGCAACCCUGAUCCAGCCAUGCCGCGUGAUCGAUGAAGGCCUUAGGGUUGUAAAGAUCUUUCAGCUGGGAAGAUAAUGACGGUACCAGCAGAAGAAGCCCCGGCUAACUCCGUG